This 248-nucleotide ribosomal RNA is filed under the name uncultured bacterium. RNAcentral describes it as "partial 16S ribosomal RNA". It matches the Rfam family "Bacterial small subunit ribosomal RNA", at positions 524 to 772 of the family's 1533-position model. The record is from RNAcentral.
UACGUAGGGGGCGAGCGUUAUCCGGAAUCAUUGGGCGUAAAGGGUGCGUAGGCGGCCGCCCAAGCAGGGGGUAUAAGGCCACGGCUUAACCGUGGCUUGCCCCCUGAACUGGGCGGCUUGAGUGCAGGAGAGGAAAGCGGAAUUCCUAGUGUAGCGGUGAAAUGCGUAGAUAUUAGGAGGAACACCAGUGGCGAAGGCGGCUUUCUGGACUGCAACUGACGCUGAGGCACGAAAGCGUGGGGAGCAAA